Long non-coding RNA from Etheostoma cragini (Arkansas darter), 712 nucleotides. RefSeq lists it as uncharacterized. The record is from RefSeq and is a predicted model, not a curated record. The transcript is spliced from 2 exons. NCBI's taxonomy places the organism in Eukaryota, Metazoa, Chordata, Actinopteri, Perciformes, Percidae.
AAAUUCUAACAUAAAGCAAGCAUAAGGAAACUGACAUCUGCAAAAAGACAUGCAUCCGGCGGAAUAUCCUCCUGCGCCGGAGCAAUCCCAAAAGUGGAACGUCGAAGAUGGAGAGAGGCAUAGGCCGAUUACACGGUACACCAAGGUUUGAAAGCCAAUUUUUUUUCUGUCAUACUGUUCCUAAGGUAUGAGUUGGUUUUUAAUGAGUCUUAAAGGACAGAUAGUGCAGUUUAGAAAGCCAUCUCCCUGCCCGUGUUUUUUACCCAGACAUUUUAAAAAUACAUUUAAUGCUGUCAUUGCAAUACCAUAAUAUUUUUGCUCAAGGUUAUCAUACCGUCAGCAUCUCAUCCCGGCCCAUGCCUGAAAAUAAACAAUUUUUGGGGAUAAAAUAAAUCUGUUUAAGGCAUUAAGGAUCUUCUUGGAUCAUAUUGCAACCUCUUGCCUUUGGGGAUGAUCACUGAACUCAACUGAUUGUGGUAGCACAAAAAAGUAGUCCAGUUUAGUUUCCAUAAUUUAACUGCCAUGAUGAUGAAGAAUGUUGAUUGAUUCCCCGACUAAAAUCUGAAGGAGAUUUCUAUCAAGACAGUUCAGGUAUACAUUUUAAUGAUAAAUCAUAUGCACAUAUUGCAGGCCAUUUAGGAGGUAAAUAGGGAUGUUUGUUCCAUCUGUACAAGGCUUUUGUUAAAUUUCGUUUCAAUGGGGCAGCUCGUGG